This 2803-nucleotide long non-coding RNA is filed under the name Triticum aestivum (bread wheat). Its description in RNAcentral is "long non-coding RNA (TAES_LNC014570)". The record is from RNAcentral. Lineage: Eukaryota; Viridiplantae; Streptophyta; Magnoliopsida; Poales; Poaceae.
AGUAGUACAUGUAUGUAGUUAUGGUGAUAGUGAUACUAACCAGACCAAGCUACUUCAAUUGUUUUACUAAGUUCUAGAAAUUCUCCAUAUACGGCAAGAGCCAACCGGACGUCUUUGUCUAGCCUGACUUGGGACGACUUCUUUGCAACUGCGGGUUAGAAAGUUCCACAUGUGAUUGGAAUUCAGUGCGAAAAACUGCUGGUUAGAAGUUCAUCUUCGCCCCUAGAAAGAAAUUUGUCUUGUAAAGGUUGAAGCUAAUGGGCUAGGAAGCUUUAUAAGAAAUUUAUUUGCAUGUUCAUUGAAAAAGUUUACCGUGAAAAUGUCUUGCUAAAGAAAUAUCUCUUGUGCACUUAUUUAUUCACCUGAAUAUUUGGUUUGAUUCUCAGGUGCGAAAUGUCUUGCUAAUCAAAGUUUGGUUUGAUUCUCAGGUGCGAGAAAUAUCUCUUGUGCACUAGUGGUUGGCUUCUCCCAGCAGUAAAUGUAGUCGGAUUCAGCAGCUAGCUCUUCCUCGAGCAACCAUUUGGAGAACUUUAUUGUCUUCUUGUGAUGGUGAUUGAUUUUAGGAUCAGUAAAUUUGAUGUUGGUAGCUAGCUUGCGUAUGGAACCUGCAAGUUCAAUAUUGGUAUUAGAUUCAUUUUUUGUUGUAUAAAUGUCCCAGUGUUCACAUUUAUUUGGGUAAAAGUUUAUUUUAGUUCAGCUACAGAAACCAUGUAGGUUCAGUGAUGAUGAUACCAUAAGUUCGGACAAGAAAAUUUAUGUAUAUGAUGAGAUGAUUGCUACUUCUUCAAAGAAGGUAUAGUACAUGACAGCUUGAUGUGCAUACAAGAAUAAAAAAUGGUUUGAAUCAAAAAUAUUGAUAAGUACGAAUUAAAAACAAUGAUCAGUUUGAAAAAUAAAAGAACAUUAGUUUUUGGUAUUCUGAGACGUUGACGUCCAAGUUCUGCAACUGAUCCGUCCAGAUGGGACAAUGAGGUCAGUCCAGCAGGCGCAUCUCAAGUGAAAUGUUAGUGAGCCGCCCACUCAGCCCCAUGCCUCUCCGCCACACGUCGUGCCAUGCCGGCUUGCCAUCAACCACGUUGUGGCUCAGCCCUGCAGUGCUUCCACGAUCAUCACACGUAGCUUCCUUCUAUCAUUGCCCUCGCCCUGCUCUCGUGCAUAUUAGCAUUGUAAAAACACAGCAAGUUCACAAAUAAAAAAGUUGUAAGUUCAACACGACGUCCCAAAUAAGUUUGAGAAAAAAGCUCAAACAAAAUGAAAUACAAUGAAAAAUCAAAUGGUAAAAGUUAAGUCACAAAACAAGAGAAUUCCAAAACAUCUUGCGAGAAAAUUGAGUUAAAAAAAUAAACACACAAUUUUUUUCCUUUAAAAAAAUAUCAUUCAGUUCAGCGAUAUAAACCAUGCAAGUUCGGGGACUAUGAUAUCCAAAAUAUAGAGUGAAGUCUAGUAUGUGAAAACAUGCUCAGUACAAACCCAUAUGAACAUCAGUGCUAGUACUCUUUUCUCGGAACCAUUCAAAAUUACUCUGAAAAAUACCUCAGUACAGACACACACAUAGAUCAGUAAGAGUACUCUGUUUUUCGGAUAAAAAACAGCAUAAUGAUUCUCACCGUAUUUAAAAUUACUCUUAAAAUAUGGGAGCAAGUAUAAAGUCAUAAAGACAACCGUUCAAAGUACUCUUUUUUCGGAACCAAUCAAAACUACUCUGUGAAAAAUACCCCAGUACAAACAUAGACAUAGAUCAAUAUGAGUACUCUGUUUUUUAGAUAGGAAAAACAAUACAAUGGGUUUCACCUUAUUCAAAAUUACUCCUAAACGGUUGCGAAGUAGAGAAAACGUUCAAGAUGACUAAGUUUCGCAUUUUCGAUAGCAAUCCAACGGUAUAUUAUUUGCCCCAUUUCGACAAACUUUUUAAAAAACCACAUUCAAAACCAAUUUUAAUCGUAUUUGAAUUCGUAUUUAAAUCAUAAGGAAUUAGAAAAAACUUUCUAUACGCAAAAGUUGCGCAUUUUCCAUAGCUUUCCAACGCCAUAUCAUUUGCGUCAAUCCAACAAACCGUUUGCAAAAAAUAGUGAAAAAUGUUUCGCCCAGAAUUUCACCGUUUUUCAAAUUACUUUUAAAUCAGAUAGAAUCUGAAAAAAAAUAGUAGAUAUAUGGAAGAUGCGGAUUUUCACAAGCUUUCCAACGCCAUCUCAUUUGCUCAAUUCCGACAAACCGUUUGAAAAUUAAGUCCAAAAUACGAUUCACGUUUUCGGUUUUGAAAAAAUGGUUUUUUCAAAACUGCUCUUAAAUAUAAUUUUUUUUGCAAAAACAAAUUAUAAGAUUGUAAUGUGGAUGUCAAGAGCUUUCCAACGAUAUAUUACACGCCCCGUUUCAACAAAAAAAUUGCAAAAAAAAUUGAACUAAAGAAGACGAUUUUUGACAGCAACAGAAAGCAUCAGUUCAACCGCUCAAAUUUCAUCAGUUCAACUGUUUGAAUUCAUCAGUUCAAGUAGGGUAACAGAAUAGCCCAGAUGUAUAUUGUUGUUCUAAGAAUGAUCAUGAUGCUCUUAUGUCCGUAUUUUAUUUUUAUCGACACCUCUAUCUCUAAACAUGUGGUCAUAUUUUUUGAUAUCAGCUUCCGCUUGAGGACAAGCGAGGUCUAAGCUUGGGGGAGUUGAUACGUCCAUUUUGCAUCAUGCUUUUAUAUCGAUAUUUAUUGCAUUAUGGGCUAUUAUUACACAUUAUGUCACAAUACUUAUGCAUAUUCUCUCUUAUUUUACAAGGUUUACAUGAAGAGGGGGAAUGCCGGCAGCUGGAAUUCUGG